Molecule: long non-coding RNA, 241 nt
Organism: Neopelma chrysocephalum (saffron-crested tyrant-manakin)
Lineage: Eukaryota; Metazoa; Chordata; Aves; Passeriformes; Pipridae
Exons: 2
Source: RefSeq, a predicted model, not a curated record
ACUCUCCUGAUCAGAGAAUCCCACAAUGGAUUCAGACUUUAGGUCCCUGGGCAAAAUCCUAAUUCCUAUGGGGAAAACAACAAAAAGAAGAAAAGGAUUACCAAACAGGUUGAGAUUUCCAGCAAUAGAAAUUCCCCUUUGGUUGUUUGUACUCACUUUACAUUUAUACUAUUUUUCCAUUCAAUUUGCUCAAAUACAGAAGUCACAAGAUAUGUAAGAAUUUAAAAAAAAACCCCACAAC